UAACAAGGAUUCCCCUAGUAACUGCGAGUGAAGCGGGAAAAGCUCAAAUUUAAAAUCUGGCAGCUUUGGCUGUCCGAGUUGUAAUCUGGAGAAGCGUCUUCCGCGCUGGACCGUGUACAAGUCUCCUGGAACGGAGCGUCAUAGAGGGUGAGAAUCCCGUCUUUGACACGGACUACCAGUGCUUUGUGAUGCGCUCUCAAAGAGUCGAGUUGUUUGGGAAUGCAGCUCAAAAUGGGUGGUAAACUCCAUCUAAAGCUAAAUAUUGGCGAGAGACCGAUAGCGAACAAGUACCGUGAGGGAAAGAUGAAAAGCACUUUGGAAAGAGAGUUAAACAGUACGUGAAAUUGCUGAAAGGGAAACGCUUGAAGUCAGUCGCGUUUGCUAGGACUCAGCCUUGCCUCGGCUUGGUGCACUUCCUAGUAGACGGGCCAGCAUCACUUUUGGCUGCGGGAGAAAGAUCAGAGGAAUGUGGCACCUUCGGGUGUGUUAUAGCCUCUGGUUGUAUGCCGUGGCUGGGAGUGAGGAUCUCAGCACGCCUUAUGGCGGGGCUUCGGCCACCUUCGUGCUUAGGAUGCUGGCGUAAUGGCUUUAAACGACCCGUCUUGAAACACGGACCAAGGAGUCUAACAUGCCUGCGAGUGUUUGGGUGGAAAACCCGAGCGCGUAAUGAAAGUGAAAGUUGGGAUCUCUGUCGUGGAGAGCACCGACGCCCGGACCAGACCUUCUGUGACGGAUCCGCGGUAGAGCAUGUAUGUUGGGACCCGAAAGAUGGUGAACUAUGCCUGAAUAGGGUGAAGCCAGAGGAAACUCUGGUGGAGGCUCGUAGCGAUUCUGACGUGCAAAUCGAUCGUCAAAUUUGGG
This 861-nucleotide ribosomal RNA is filed under the name Phanerochaete sp. Its description in RNAcentral is "partial large subunit ribosomal RNA". It matches the Rfam family "Eukaryotic large subunit ribosomal RNA", at positions 66 to 915 of the family's 3401-position model. The record is from RNAcentral. Lineage: Eukaryota; Fungi; Basidiomycota; Agaricomycetes; Polyporales; Phanerochaetaceae.